This 503-nucleotide ribosomal RNA is filed under the name uncultured Verrucomicrobiota bacterium. RNAcentral describes it as "bacterial SSU rRNA". It matches the Rfam family "Bacterial small subunit ribosomal RNA", at positions 562 to 1068 of the family's 1533-position model. The record is from RNAcentral. Lineage: Bacteria; Pseudomonadati; Verrucomicrobiota.
AAAGGGUGCGUAGGCGGUUUUGUAUGUCGGAUGUGAAAUCUCACUUUUCAUGGGUGGAACUGCAUUCGAAACUGCAGGGCUAGAGUACGGAAGAGGAGAGCUGAAUUCUUGGUGUAGCGGUGAAAUGCGUAGAUAUCAAGAGGAACACCGGUGGCGAAGGCGGCUCUCUGGAAUGAUACUGACGCUGAGGCACGAAACCUGGGGGAGCAAACAAGCUUAGAUACCCUGGUAGUCCCAGCCGUAAACGGUGUGCACUUGGUGUUGGUCGGUUUGUCCCGAUCUGUGCCGGAGCUAACGCGUUAAGUGCACCGCCUGGGGAGUACGGCCGCAAGGCUAAAACUCAAAGGAAUUGACGGGGGCCCGCACAAGCGGUGGAGCAUGUGGCUUAAUUCGAUGCAACGCAAAGAACCUUACCUGGGCUUGACAUGGAGACCCUUCGCGGGUGUAGGCGAAAGCCUCUUUACUCACACAGGUGCUGCAUGGCUGUCGUCAGCUGGUGCCGU